UGGAGGGCAAGUCUGGUGCCAGCAGCCGCGGUAAUUCCAGCUCCAAUAGCGUAUAUUAAAGUUGUUGCAGUUAAAAAGCUCGUAGUUGGAUUUCUGUUAAUAAUUUAUAUAAAAUAUUUUGAUGAAUAUUUAUAUAAUAUUAACAUAAUUCAUAUUACUAUAUAUUUUAGUAUAUGAAAUUUUACUUUGAGAAAAUUAGAGUGCUUAAAGCAGGCAUAUGCCUUGAAUACUCCAGCAUGGAAUAAUAUUAAAGAUUUUUAUCUUUCUUAUUGGUUCUAAGAUAAGAAUAAUGAUUAAUAGGGACAGUUGGGGGCAUUUGUAUUUAACAGUCAGAGGUGAAAUUCUUAGAUUUGUUAAAGACAAACUAAUGCGAAAGCAUUUGCCAAGGAUGUUUUCAUUAAUCAAGAACGAAAGUUAGGGGAUCGAAGACGAUCAGAUACCGUCGUAGUCUUAACCAUAAACUAUGCCAACUAGAGAUUGGAGGUUGUUCCUUACUCCUUCAGCACCUUA
RNAcentral lists this ribosomal RNA (510 nucleotides) under Cryptosporidium parvum. Its description in RNAcentral is "SSU rRNA". It matches the Rfam family "Eukaryotic small subunit ribosomal RNA", at positions 549 to 1090 of the family's 1831-position model. The record is from RNAcentral. Lineage: Eukaryota; Apicomplexa; Conoidasida; Eucoccidiorida; Cryptosporidiidae.